RNAcentral lists this ribosomal RNA (385 nucleotides) under uncultured bacterium. RNAcentral's name for it is "bacterial SSU rRNA". It matches the Rfam family "Bacterial small subunit ribosomal RNA", at positions 29 to 417 of the family's 1533-position model. The record is from RNAcentral.
AUUGAACGCUGGCGGCAUGCUUUACACAUGCAAGUCGAACGGUAACAGGCCUUCGGGUGCUGACGAGUGGCGAACGGGUGAGUAAUGCAUCGGAACGUGCCCAAUCGUGGGGGAUAACGUAGCGAAAGUUACGCUAAUACCGCAUAAGCCCUGAGGGGGAAAGCAGGGGAUCGCAAGACCUUGCGCGAAUGGAGCGGCCGAUGUCAGAUUAGCUAGUUGGUGGGGUAAAGGCCUACCAAGGCGACGAUCUGUAGCGGGUCUGAGAGGAUGAUCCGCCACACUGGGACUGAGACACGGCCCAGACUCCUACGGGAGGCAGCAGUGGGGAAUUUUGGACAAUGGGCGCAAGCCUGAUCCAGCCAUGCCGCGUGCGGGACGAAGGCCU